This 335-nucleotide ribosomal RNA is filed under the name uncultured Pseudomonadota bacterium. Its description in RNAcentral is "bacterial SSU rRNA". It matches the Rfam family "Bacterial small subunit ribosomal RNA", at positions 29 to 351 of the family's 1533-position model. The record is from RNAcentral. Lineage: Bacteria; Pseudomonadati; Pseudomonadota.
AACGAACGUUAGCGGCGCGCUUAACACAUGCAAGUCGAGCGAGAAAGGGGCAACCCCGGUAAAGCGGCGCACGGGUGAGUAACACGUAGGUAAUCUACCCCCAGGUGGUGGAUAACUUUCCGAAAGGAAAGCUAAUACAGCAUGGGACCACGACUCCGAAAGGAGUUGAGGUGAAAGUCGGCCUCUUCACGAAAGCCGACGCCAGGGGAUGAGUCUGCGGCCCAUCAGCUAGUUGGUAGGGUAAUGGCCUACCAAGGCGAAGACGGGUAGCUGGUCUGAGAGGAUGAUCAGCCACACUGGAACUGAGACACGGUCCAGACUCCUACGGGAGGCUG